This is a long non-coding RNA of Choloepus didactylus (southern two-toed sloth), 579 nucleotides long. RefSeq lists it as uncharacterized. The transcript is spliced from 3 exons. Lineage: Eukaryota; Metazoa; Chordata; Mammalia; Pilosa; Megalonychidae. The record is from RefSeq and is a predicted model, not a curated record.
UGUUGAAGUGAAUUCUAGAAAUAAUUUUGAGUGUAAAUAUUACUUUAUACAUUGUUGGCACUCAAAUACUUUUUUGGUAGUGUAAGUAAUAUUUGUUUUAAUAAGGCUUCUCUUUUGGCACAGUUUUCUUUGGACUUAUUGAGGGAAGCAUGAAGAGGAAAGAGCCUUGACGUAGAUUGCAAACAUAAGUUGAUCUGAGAUGUUUGAUUCUCUAACUUUUACCAGUUUCCAAUGGUUGGCAUCUGAUUGAAGUUCAGAGGUGUGGCUCAAAUGAAUGCAGAGGAUCUUAAUCAGAUUACUGGAACCAUUUAUAAGCAGAAGAAAUUCAGACAUGGUACGAGAAAGCCACACGGAGGAGCCAUCACCAUGUAACCAGAAAGCCAAGGAACCCAACGAUUGCCAGUCUGCCAGAACACUACCAACCCUGGGAGGAAACAAGCCUCUGAAACCGUGAGCCAAGAAUUCAUUCAUAGUCAAGAGAAGCAUUUGCACAAGUAUGCCAGGAAGCACAUACAAGAAUGUUCAUAACGGUACUGUUUUAUAAUAGCAGCAACUGAACGUCCAUCAAAAAGCGAAAAG